CAAGUUCGAGUAGCAGUGACUAUACUAGAUUUUCUUCAAUAUUUAUCAUCUUUGAAGUGAAUUUUAAUAUUUUAUUUUUUAAUCUCUUUGUUUUAGAAUAGAAAGGCUUGCCUUUUCAUGAAUAAAAGGGUCCUUCACUAAAACACCAGAAACACUAAAAAAAAUGUGUUUGGUAAUACAUUUAGUAUAAUAUGAUGAAACAGAGAUGGUUGAAUAAUCAUCAUUAUGGUUAGCAUUGGUUUUAGAAGUUUCUUGUUGCUUCUAGCAAUAUAGUUGCCUGUGCAUGCCUUCUUGAUGUGAACUAUUUCUCCUUGAAGGUAUAUUUGAAUAGAGGAACAUAAUUGAUUAAAAAGCUCCUUCAUGAGAUCUUAUUUGGUGAUAGAGGCUCUAAAAUUAUGUCUCAAAAAUUUAAACUGUUAGAUAGAGAUACAUUCUUUAACUCCAAUGAUGGUAGUAAUCUUUAAAUGUUUAUCAUUGAUUUUAUGCAACCUUGCCAUGGGUUAGGGUAACGCUUCUGGUUGUCUUUUAUUAUGGAUAUGUGAAGACAUCAGGCAAUCUUUGUUCUUCAUUCUUGGCUUUUUCCUGCAAUGUUUUAUAGAUGGAUAAUGUUAUGUUUAUAUUUUUGUUGAGGUUUAUUAAUAUUUAUUAAAAAUAAUUGCUGCAUACACAUUUGGUUGAUUUUAUCCUUUUCAGGCAUGUUAGAACUCCUUUCUCAAGACAAACUAAUGCUUAGCCAGUGGCUAUUAACUUAUUAUGACUAAUGGCACAGUUUAGAAGAUAAUAUUUUACCCUUUUAUUGAUUUGGAUGCUUGUCUCAAAACAAAUUUGAUGUUAUUUAUUACUUAUUUCUAUAAAUGUUGAUGUUACUGUUCUUCUAGGCUGCCAACCAUCCUUAAGUUACUUAUCUUUUAUUUCAAUAUCGAUAACUUCCAAUAUCCUGUCAUAGAGCAAAAUCGUUGCAUAUUUGAUAGGAUAAAUUAUAGUUCUUUUUACUACUGAAACUAUUUAGUCUUUAAGUUCAGUUGUCUGUCUGUGUGUGUAGGCAAAUAUAAUACCCAGAAAUUUGAUAUUGCUCCACUAGUUUUUCCUACCAGAGUUGUCUGCCUGUCAUUACUAUUGCUUUGAUUCCUAAACCAAUGUGCUGUUUUUUGACCUUGUGUGUGUGUGUGUGUGUGUGUGUGUGUGUGGCUAUGCUUAGCCAAAUAUAACACCAAGAAAUUUGAUAUUGCUCCACUAGUUUUUCCUACUGGAGUUUUCUACCUGUCAUUACUAUCGCUUUGAUUCGUAAACCAAUGUGCUGUUUUUGACCUUUUGGAUGACUCUAGCUGAAAACUUGAACCACACUGCAGUAUGAUGUUAGCUUUUAAUAUCUCUACUUAUGAUAUUUUCACUUUGCUAGAUAUUUGAAGCAGCAAGCAUCUUUGGCAAAUAGAUCGUUAUCCAAGUAUAAUUUUUUUAAUACAUAUUUCUACAAGAAGCUUCAGGAGGCUAUUUCGGUUAAGCAAAGUGACAGAGGAACAUUCUUUGUCAAAUUCAGAAGGUGGUGGAAGGGUGUAAAUAUAUUUCAGAAGGCCUAUGUUUUGGUGUUUAGGAAGUUAUGGGUCAAGAAUUUUCUCACGAAGGGGUUAAUAGCGAGCAUACAUCAUAUGAUCAAUAUGAGCAGGAGGAAGAAAAACAUGAGGAAAUUGACGUGGAUUAUAUGGAUGAGGACGACACAAAUGUGGAACCAAUGUUCGAUUAUCACGGCUUCGAUGAAGGGUAUAACAUUGACUCACUUGAAGACAUUGGGAUGAUUGAAUUUUGGAACAUCAGAGAUGAAGAUGUAUGUCAUUUUCACUUUUCUGAUGUCGACAUUGCAUUUGAGUUCUACAAUAGAUAUGCAAGGACAAGAGGCUUUAGUGCUCGGAAGAACAGGACUAGGAAGAGUCGUGCGGGCGCACUUAAGUUGAAGAAUUUUGUAUGUCAUCGUGAAGGAUUUAGACCGCCAAAUAAUUACGGCAUCGGAAACCUUAAGAGAAAACCUACACCCGAGACAAGGUGUGGCUACAGUGCAAUGAUGGAGAUUCGUGUAGAUGCACCUAGCGGUCGUUGGUUUAUUUCUUAUUUUUCUGAUGAACACAAUCAUCCGCUUCUGGAUCCUCGGUUGACUGGAUUGCUCCCUGGGCAUAGAUUCAUGUCCGAGGCUGAUAUUGGCCACAUGGUUAACAUGAAAAAGGGUGGGAUUAGUGUUGGGCAGAUAUAUCGGGCAUUAGCAAAUCAGGCAGGUGGCUACGAGUAUCUCUCUUUCACGCAAAGGGACAUGUAUAAUAAAAUAGCAAAGCAGAGGCGCCAAUUACCCGGUGAUGCAUAUGCAGCUUUGAAGGCCUUGGAAAUGACACAUUUGAUAAUAACUUGGAUGACCACAUGAACAUUGAAGAUGACUCAUUAGUAAGUAUCUUUACGAAUGAGGUAUGACAAAGUUUUAUUUGCUGCUUAUUAGCUAGUACUAAUGAUAUUAUAUUGCUGAUAUUAUAUGUAUAUGAUGAGAGUGCUUCCUACAGUAGCAAUGAAGUGCUGUAAUAAGAUUGAGUAGCUGAAAUGAUGUUUUCUUGGAUCAAAACUUUAUCAUCUUGUAAGCAGAUGACUUAAAAGUAACAGGCGUUGGGUGGUUUGCUGCUGGAUUUUGUGUUUUCUAGUAAAUGAAUGAGCUAUUAUUUGAUAGAUUAAAUCAGACAGCUAGGGAUGUUGCCUAUGUACAAUGGCCAAGUGCUGCAAUGAUGAAUGCACAUUCAUAUGACCAAUUUAGGCAUGCUGUUUUCCAGGCUUCGUUUGGUCAACAGCCGUUGAGCUUUGACUAUUCACAAAACUACUAGAUGACAUUUUAGGGGGGGGGGGAGUUAUGGAAUUGGAUGCAGAAGUUGUUACCUUAGUAUGUUUAGUUAUUUCAUGUUAGGUUUGUUCUUGAGUAUUCUAUCAUAGACAUUUGUUGCUGUUGUAGUAUGUCUUUGACUUUCAGUUUUGAUGGGUUAUACUAGCAUAUAUGAUAUCAUAUCUGGUACUUCUAGUUUGACAGUCUAUAUAAAAUAGUAAAUUUAUUUCUAGACUUAAA
Molecule: non-coding RNA, 3088 nt
Organism: Arachis ipaensis
Lineage: Eukaryota; Viridiplantae; Streptophyta; Magnoliopsida; Fabales; Fabaceae
Source: RefSeq, a predicted model, not a curated record